This 800-nucleotide long non-coding RNA is filed under the name Phasianus colchicus (ring-necked pheasant). RNAcentral's name for it is "lncRNA (ENSPCLG00000019270.1)". The record is from RNAcentral. Lineage: Eukaryota; Metazoa; Chordata; Aves; Galliformes; Phasianidae.
CGGCGGCCGCCGGGCGGGGAGGGCGCGCUGCCCGCACCAUGCCGCUCAGCCCGCGCCCCGCCGCGCUCCUGCCCCUUUGUCUGCUCUGCCUCCAGGCUGCGCUGCCGCCCCGCCGCCCCCGCUACGCCGGUGAUAAAGUCAUUCGUGUUGUUCCUGAGAGUGAGAGGGAGACACAGAUCCUGAAGGCUGCAUUUAACAGGCUUAAGGUUCAUUCUUUUCAUCCUAAUCAUUUGCAACUUGUUACAAUCGUCAACAAAGAAAGAGAAAUGUUUAUGAUGAGAUGGAGUGACCUGAGUAUCACAGAACUGCCCAAUCUCUGUCCUGCAGGGCUCUUCUCGUCCAUCCCCUGUCCCUCUGCCUCACAUCAUCUCCAAGGACUGCCCCUCGUCUCUCGCUCUUUCUUGUUUAGGAGACCAUCUGAGAAGCCUGAUGCUGAUUUAUGAACCUUUUCAUGGUUUUAAAUCUGUUGGACUUGACUGACAGAAACAAAUGUCACAUUCCAAACUGCUUUGCAAAGAAACAGAUUUGCUCAGGUUCUCAGAACCCACAGAUUUGGUUUAUCUGCUCUGGAAUUUUCUUUCGUAAGCAUUAUUUUUGAAGUGCCACUUCAUUCAAGCCUUGAUAACUUCUAGUCUACCAGUGGUCUAUGAGCACAUUUAAUCAUAUAUGCCUGACUGGAAUCGGUGUUGUUUGUAUAACUAGCAAAGAAGCUACUGCUCUGUGAACAUUCCUGGCAUAAUAGAGUCAGACCACUCAUUCUUCAGUAGAUUUUACAAAAGAAAUUCCUGGGCGCAGCCAAG